CCUACGGGUGGCAGCAGUGGGGGAUAUUGCACAAUGGGGGAAACCCUGAUGCAGCAACGCCGCGUGUGGGAAGAAGGUUCUCGGAUUGUAAACCACUGUUUUUGGUGAAGAUAAUGACGGCAACCAAGGAGAAAGCUCCGUCUAACUACGUGCCAGCAGCCGUGGGAAUACGGAGGGAGCAAGCGUUGUCCGGAUUUACCGGGGGUAAAGGGUGCGUAGGCGGUCUUGCAAGUCAGGCGUGAAAACCACAGGCUCAACCUGUGGAUUGCGUUUGAAACUGUGGGGCUUGAGUGAAGUAGAGGUAGGCGGAAUGCCCGGUGUAGCGGUGAAAUGCGUAGAGAUCGGGAGGAACACCAGUGGCGAAGGCGGCCUACUGGGCUUUAACUGACGCUGAGGCACGAAAGCAUGGGUAGCAAACAGGAUUAGAUACCCGUGUAGUC
This 440-nucleotide ribosomal RNA is filed under the name uncultured bacterium. RNAcentral describes it as "partial 16S ribosomal RNA". It matches the Rfam family "Bacterial small subunit ribosomal RNA", at positions 338 to 795 of the family's 1533-position model. The record is from RNAcentral.